This 30-nucleotide small RNA is filed under the name Bombyx mori (domestic silkworm). Its description in RNAcentral is "ovarian small RNA-16374". Lineage: Eukaryota; Metazoa; Arthropoda; Insecta; Lepidoptera; Bombycidae. The record is from RNAcentral.
GCACGGAACGGGCCUCGGGGCAAUCCCCAC